RNAcentral lists this microRNA precursor (90 nucleotides) under Myotis lucifugus (little brown bat). Its description in RNAcentral is "miRNA (ENSMLUG00000029925.1)". The record is from RNAcentral. Lineage: Eukaryota; Metazoa; Chordata; Mammalia; Chiroptera; Vespertilionidae.
AUAUAUAUAUAUAUAUAUGUGUGUGUGUGUGUGUGUGUGUAUAUAUAUAUACCUACAUAUACACACACAUAUACAUACAUACACACAUAC